RNAcentral lists this non-coding RNA (27 nucleotides) under Rattus norvegicus (Norway rat). Lineage: Eukaryota; Metazoa; Chordata; Mammalia; Rodentia; Muridae. The record is from RNAcentral.
UAGUGGGCCUUCUAAGAAACAGAAGUG